AUGAUCCCACUGGGGAAAGCCACAUCCCUCCCCUCCCAGCCAACAGCAGCAACAAACAGCUGGGAGAUGGACAGAGCUGGAUUCUGGGAGGAAUCUCUGCUUUGGCCCACAGGGAAGCAUUUAGGAUGGCGCUCUCUGCUGCAGCAUCACUCCGAGCAGCAGCAGCAGGGAUUGCAGGGGAAGCCUCCACGCCUGGUGGGAAGGGAAAAGAGCUGCAGGACUCCCACCAGCAUCUCCACUUCUCCAUCCCCGUGGAGCUCAGCCCGCAGGAAUGAUCCUUGUCCUGGUUUGAAGGACAGGAGAUGUGUUGGCUUGUGGUUCAUGGAGGUGCACGGCACGAAAAGAAACGGAGAAAAGGAGCUGGAUGCCGCGGGGACGUGGAGAAAAAGACCUUUCUACAUGGACACCAUCAUCCUUCUUGGGGCUGGGUGAAGAGCAGGGCUGGCACUCGACAGAGAACUGGGAAAUGAGGGAAAUAGAGGAAUUUCCCACAUCUUCCAUCCCACCUCCCCGCUGGAGCCGGAGCAUCUCCAGCCCGAGCAGCGCUGCAGCGGCGAGCGAUCGGUCAGGGGUGGGCGUGGGCAGGGAGAAAUAAAACCAGCAUCAAAUCACAGAUGGAAGGAUCUUUGCUCCCCACCAAUCCUCUCCGUCCAUCCCUUCCCUCUGCCCAUGGGAUGGGUGCCCCAGGGUCCUUGCCCCCAGCCCCUUCUAGCACAUGACCUUGAGGGCCAGAUGCUGAAGGUUAUUUGGGGGCACUGCUGUGUUAAUCAAAGCUGCUUAAUUCCCCCCAUAAUCCAAGUGGGGACGGAGCCUGGCAGGUCCCUGCCGCUAUGUUUACAUCGGACUGGGGGUGGAGGGAGGAAGGAGGGGACAGGGAGGGGGGGGGGGGGGGGGGGGGGGGGGGGGGGGGGGGGGGGGGGGGGGGGG
This 927-nucleotide long non-coding RNA is filed under the name Ficedula albicollis (Collared flycatcher). RNAcentral describes it as "lncRNA (ENSFALG00000028323.1)". Lineage: Eukaryota; Metazoa; Chordata; Aves; Passeriformes; Muscicapidae. The record is from RNAcentral.